AAGAAUAAUAAUGUUAUAUAAAAAAGCUGCUAACUUUUCUAUACGCAACUCAUAAUUGUGUUAUUCUUU
RNAcentral lists this transfer RNA (69 nucleotides) under Tremoctopus violaceus. Its description in RNAcentral is "tRNA-Ser". The record is from RNAcentral. Lineage: Eukaryota; Metazoa; Mollusca; Cephalopoda; Octopoda; Tremoctopodidae.